GAUGAAGAACGCAGCGAAAUGCGAUAAGUAAUGUGAAUUGCAGAAUUCAGUGAAUCAUCGAAUCUUUGAACGCAUCUUGCGCUCCUUGGUAUUCUGAGGAGCAUGCCUGUUUGAGUGUCAUUAAAUUCUCAACUACACUGACUUUGAAUUGGUGUGGCUUGGAUUUGGGGAGAAAAUUGUUGUGGGCUUUUUGUAUAGUCUGCUCCCCUGAAAUUGAUUAGCGGUACCUUUGUGGAACUGUCUACAGGUGUGAUAAUUAUCUACAUCUUAGACAUCUGCUGGAAUGCUGCUUUCUAAACCUUACUUGUAUUGACAAUCUUGACCUCAAAUCAGGUAGGACUACCCGCUGAACUUAAGCAUAUCAAUAAGCGGAGGA
Molecule: unclassified non-coding RNA, 376 nt
Filed under: soil metagenome
Description: partial contains 5.8S ribosomal RNA, internal transcribed spacer 2, and large subunit ribosomal RNA
Rfam family: 5.8S ribosomal RNA (bases 1-120)
Source: RNAcentral